This is a long non-coding RNA of Neogale vison (American mink), 4284 nucleotides long. RefSeq lists it as uncharacterized. The transcript is spliced from 2 exons. The record is from RefSeq and is a predicted model, not a curated record. Lineage: Eukaryota; Metazoa; Chordata; Mammalia; Carnivora; Mustelidae.
GCGGGGGGCAGACCGAAGUGAGGUAGGUGUGAGUGUGCUGCUCUCCGCCUUCCCUGCCGUCCCCGAAGCCUGGGGUCUCGGCCGCGCACCCCGACGGGUCCCGGGCUGCCUGCUUCUCAGAGGCCGAGGAACAAGCCGGGAGGACGCGUGUUUGCCCUUUUGUAUCUCAGGCGCCUCCGUGUUGGGGUUUCAUGCAGAGGCGCCCUUUCUCCUUGGUGGGUGCUCUUGGGGAGAAGGCGCAGCCGUCCUUGGGGGUCUUCUGCGUCCAGGGGCACGCGAGCUGGUAUCUUCUGUCUGUUGCUUUUCGAGGUGCCCAGCGCCGCUGCCCCCCCCCCGCCCCCAACCUUCCUCAGACGUUUCAGUGCCUGCGACCCUUGGCUCCCAGAGCUUUCGGACUGUACAAUGCUGCGUCGUUCUUCCGUUUGGAGCUCAGGUAGCUGCACUUUUUCCUGAUGCUCUUAAGGCUGUGAGCGACACUUCUUGGCAACGGGUCUCGGGGGCAGGUCACGCUCCCAGGCGUUGCUGGCAGUAGCGUGGGACACGUGGCCGGGCCGGGGCAGGGGGAAGCUAACAAGACCCCGUGUUUGCUGAGAGCACACCACCCUCCUCCUUGUUUCUCAUCUGGGAUUCUGGUCUUGUUGCUUCUCGUUUGUGCUGGACCGACGUGAGCAAGUCCUGGCCGAGGCAGGACACCCCGGAAACGCGAAACGUCCGUGCUCCUCAGUGCUGGCUGUGGAGUGGGGGGCCCGACAGCACGUGCGGCUGUGGACUAGAGGCUGAAAAUCUAGUAGGCACCUUUAUGAUAAGUUUCUGAGACCGAAGGCAAGAAAAACCGGAAGACGAGACCUGCAGGAGUCGAGGAAAGUGAGCUUCAUCCGAGCCGAGGCUGGCGCUCCUCGACCAUGAGCCGUGUCUUCCUGCGCCCUCCAGCAAGCCCCUGCUCCUGGAGGAAGGCACCGCGGGCGUCCGAAGCGUGUCCCCCCGUGGGUGCAAGUGAGACCUGCCUCAAGAGGGACCCCAGCACUGGUGCUGAUUCAGGAGGGGGAUGAGAAAAGGUGGUCAAAACACCUGAACUAAAACAUGCAAGAAACCACUUUGCUUCAGUGCCCAGAUGUUCGUCUGCGUCGGGCUGUAUGUAGCGUCUCGUCCCUGCACUGGGGCUUUCGGUGACAUCCCUUGGCUUAAAGCGGGGAGGACUGUCCCCACUUAAUGGGUUGUUCAAAUAGGGAUUCUCUUGAAAGGGAAAGGGAGCACCUUUAGGACCAGGAUGUGGGGCUGCCCUCUGUGUCCCCUCUUGGUGUGGGCACCAGACGUGGUUCCCGAGGGGUGGCUGUGGGCCGCAGGGACCUGCCCGUGUUCUUCCUGCGUUGUGGGGGAGUCUGGGUUGGAGCAGGUGGCAGGGAGCCAUUACCCUACAGUUGUGUGUGUGCACAGCCCUUGCAGUCAUUUCGACACCGACGCGAGCUUGUCGGCCGGAACUGUGGUUGUGGACUUCUGGGGACAGCGAUUUUGGCAAUGGGUGUUGUCCUUCUGUGGCUACCAGAAGUUUCCUCCACUUCCGUCCUCUCCCUGCCGGUCACUUAGGCUCCUGUGUUGCAUCCCUGCUCUGUGUUUUGGAAUCCCGUGUGCUAAUGGUUGGGAAGCUCAGACACGUGGGUGACUUUCCACGUGCUUGACAUUGUUCCAAGCACGUCACUGGCACUGAGCAGGUUUCGGAAAGCACAGCCGCCUUGUAAGUUUCCUGGGGCGUCUGGUAACGUAGCAGGUGCUUUGUGUGCGCAGACGGGCGCGCUGCGGACCCGGAGGGCAGUGGGCUUCCCGGGUCUUUGGGGUGAGCUAUGGGUGCAGGUUUCCCAGCUGGGGAGGGGGCGGCAGGAGCUGGGCAUGGACCGGGGACCUGUUCACCUCCCCCCCAUGGGCCCGGGCUCAGGGGCUCCGGUCACUCAGUUUCUCUGCCUCCGGCUUUCACAUCUAGAGUGUGGAAGACGUUGUCACGGGAGAAAAGGACUCUCGCCAGGUUGCUGUGGGAGUAAUUAGAACGUGUCAGCACUUCGAGCCACAGGGGGCUGGCCCUGACCUGCUCGCCUGUGCUUCCCAACGGGCCCGUGGGGCCCGGUCUAGCUCUGCGUGCGCCCUCCGGGAGCGUGCGGGAGAGAAGCUGGUGAGCUGCCCUGGCCCCAGGGGAGGACCGGCACCCGCUUGGGGGAGCCGGAGGCUUUGGGCGGGAGGAGAAGCCAAUCCGGCGAGCAGCUGCGCUUGGGACUGCUGAGCUGCCUGGUCCUAAUCGGUUGGGAAGCCAGGGAAGAAGCAGCUUCUGGAGUCCCUCAGCCCCAGGCCAUCAUGGCUGUGGUGGAACCCACGGGGAGCCCCCUGGGUGUGCAGGGAAGGCUGGGCCGUGUGGGGUCAUGGCUGGGGUCGCGGGGCCGGUGUGUGCGGGGACACGAGCUCCUCGUCAUGACGUCACGGGCGGCGGCUUGGCUUCUCUGCUCCUCCCAGGCCAGCGCGCGCGUGCGUGUGCGUGCGUGUGCGUGUACAUGCGCGUAACCUGCCGCUCCAGGCCCCGUUUUGUGUCCUGCCGUCCCCGGAAUGUACGGAAGUCUGUCAUCUUGGCCAAGAGACAGAACUCUCAGACCCACAUCCCAGCGCGGAGGGCUCUGAGCCGCCAGGAACCGGAGUCUCUGGUCCACCUCGGGUCCGAGCAGAAAGCACGGAAGGCCCCCAGGAAAGACCCCCCCCAACUAAACAAGAUGAGAGGAAAGGGGGCGUGAGUGUGGCACGGAACAAACGAUGCUGGGUUUAACUGGAACAUGCUCUAAUCUUGAGUUUAUUUCUGGUUAAAAAUAUAGCAAUCCAGUGCAGUGUAGUAAAGAAAUCUGCUCGAAAGGUAGCAGAGAAACAGCUAGACAUAAGCAAAGCAAGGCAGAGUCCAUAGCCGGGCUGUGUCCAGGACGGCUGUGGAAGCUCACGGUCAGGACCGUCCCAUGCGGGAGCGCGGCGGCCUGUGUAUGGACGUGGCCGUGCCCCAGACACGUCCAUACCCACGGGCCGCGGCUGGCUCCGGCGCUAGGACCACGGGGCGCCCAAACCUUCCGGAACCUUGUUCUUUCAUUGGGAUGACGGAGCGACGCCGGUCGAGAAGGCAGAACUGACUGAAACCAGUUAAUGUGGUGUUGGGACAGGGAGGGGCCACAACUGCUCAGGAAUUUUAAGCCACUGGGUUUCGCCCACAUUCCUGUCCUGGGACCAGACCAGCUCCAGAGCAUGAAUGCGGCAUCUGGAAGGAGUGAGCGCAUCUGGGGGUGUGGAGUGGCGGCCAGCACAGGACAGAGACGUGAGAACCCGUGUGUGUGCUUAGUGACCGCGAGAAAGGAUGGUGUCAACUGCCAUGACGUCUGAGGGGGACAAGGGGCCUGGGCACACUUUCUGCACGCCACGCGUAUCGAUGCCACACUCUGAGCCAGCUGUGCUGGCUGCGUGAGCCCACAGCGCUCCCUGCCCUCUGGUCCCUCCGCAGCCCUGCUUCCUGGGGGUCGGGGCGGGGGUGGGGUGGGGCAGGUCGGAGGCAGGAGUAUUAGGACUUUGCUUUCAGACUUGGUGGGCAGCUGGCCUCGCCGUGAAGGCCAGAGGAAGCAGAGGGCAGGGGUGGGGAAGGGAAGGGGCGGCAGGUCCCCGCUUCCUCAAGUACACAGCACAGAUUCCGACAGAGGCCCAGCUGCUGCCGGGGUGGGGGGGUCGGCGCGCCCUCUUCCCCACCGCGCGCCCACCCGGAUCACUCGCUUGCUCUUCCAGGACGCGGAGGAAAAGCAGAGGUAGCAGACUUCCCGCACGCGGCCUCGCAGCAGCUGCUUCCCGAUCUGCCGGGCACAGCUGGACGCGCAGGGGUCUCCCUCCGGCUGCCUCCGUUUCCAGUCCCAGGCAGGGUGUGACGGCGGCGAGGACGGUGGCCGUCUUAGUUUGUGGCCAUUGAUUUGCUGGGAUCCCUUUCUUUCCACACCAAGCUGGAGGGUCGGGGUGCUGGCCUCCUUCUGCCAUGCCACACAGCAUCGUGUUAUACAAGCAAAGAAUUUUGGCUAAAAUCCAAAAAACAUUACCCAGAAAAAAAGGCAAACUGUGAGUAAUACCCAAUCAUGUUCUGCGAAAAGACUCAGAAGGUGUGGCCGGGCCGUCCGAGUUGCGAUCCUUCCCUGUUGUCGUGGGUUACGUCCCUUGGUACACCGACUGUUGUCUUUGCUAAUGUGACAUCCCGUCAGAUGAAAAAGUUAAUAAACAAAAUGGCGACUCCGA